Molecule: ribosomal RNA, 262 nt
Filed under: uncultured bacterium
Lineage: Bacteria
Description: partial 16S ribosomal RNA
Rfam family: Bacterial small subunit ribosomal RNA
Source: RNAcentral
GUCCACGCCCUAAACGAUGUCGACUAGUUGUUCGGGAAGGUGACUUCUUGAGUAACGUAGCUAACGCGUGAAGUCGACCGCCUGGGGAGUACGGCCGCAAGGUUAAAACUCAAAGGAAUUGACGGGACCCGCACAAGCGGUGGAUGAUGUGGAUUAAUUCGAUGCAACGCGAAAACCUUACCUACCCUUGACAUGUCUGGAAGUCUGCAGAGAUGCGGAUGUGCCUUCGGGAACCAGAACACAGGUGCUGCAUGGCUGUCGU